Molecule: ribosomal RNA, 342 nt
Filed under: Triticum aestivum (bread wheat)
Lineage: Eukaryota; Viridiplantae; Streptophyta; Magnoliopsida; Poales; Poaceae
Description: partial small subunit ribosomal RNA
Source: RNAcentral
AUGGGCUGGGCGAGCCGGCGCGGCCUCGCCGCGGCGCUCCUCCUCCACCUCCUCUUCCUCGCCGCUGCCCUCGGUGGGUGCGCCGCGACGAGCCGGAGGAGCGGCAGCAGCGGCGGUAGAGCAGCGCUGGAGCAGUACUCGUGGGAGGACCCUGCGGAGGCGGCGCGGCGGAGGGAGCUGGUGGGCCCGGGCUCGUCGCCGCCGACGUGCCGGAGCCGGUGCGGGCGGUGCCACCCGUGCCGGCCGGUGCACGUGGCCAUCCAGCCCGGCGUCAGCUUCCCGCUCGAGUACUACCCGGAGGCCUGGCGCUGCAAGUGCGGCGACAGGCUCUUCAUGCCAUGA